CACGUAGGGUGCGAGCGUUGUCCGGAAUUAUUGGGCGUAAAGAGCUCGUAGGCGGUGUGUCGCGUCGGCCGUGAAAACCUGUGGCUUAACCAUGGGCUUGCGGUCGAUACGGGCAUCACUGGAGUUCGGCAGGGGAGACUGGAAUUCCUGGUGUAGCGGUGAAAUACGUAGAUAUCUGGAGGAACACCGGUGGCGAAGGCGGCGAUCUGGCCCAACAUUGACACUGAGACCCGAAAGCGUGGGGAUCAAACAGG
RNAcentral lists this ribosomal RNA (254 nucleotides) under uncultured bacterium. Its description in RNAcentral is "partial 16S ribosomal RNA". It matches the Rfam family "Bacterial small subunit ribosomal RNA", at positions 524 to 776 of the family's 1533-position model. The record is from RNAcentral.